Molecule: microRNA precursor, 103 nt
Filed under: Marmota monax (woodchuck)
Lineage: Eukaryota; Metazoa; Chordata; Mammalia; Rodentia; Sciuridae
Source: RNAcentral
AGAGGAAUAGCUGGGUCACAUGGUGGUUCCAUUCCCAGAUUUCCAAGGAAUCUCCAUACUGCUUUCCAUAUUGGCUGCACCAAUUUGCAGUCCCACCAGCAAU